Molecule: long non-coding RNA, 518 nt
Filed under: Physcomitrium patens
Lineage: Eukaryota; Viridiplantae; Streptophyta; Bryopsida; Funariales; Funariaceae
Description: long non-coding RNA (PPAT_LNC013456)
Source: RNAcentral
UGCGGAGAGGAUGAGCAUUUCGUGAUUGGUUUGAAAUCUGCGAUUGGCCGCGGAUGUUUAGGGCUUCGGCCGUGCCACAGCAGGCAUGCACGGCAAGUUCUGCAUGAACCCCAAGUUCACAGAUCCAGCGCCGACGAAGCCAUCAUGGACGAUUCGAGCAACUCAUGGUGUCGAUAGAGUUUCAAUCUAGACACAAACAAACAUUGCUGUGAACUCAACUUCACAGGCGAGGAAGCAUUCAUCUCCUAUGACUGCGGCGUACCCAUACCCGUGGUUAUCUAUCGGCGGUAAUUGGCACCCCAUUAAUAACUUGGCUCUUAGUAGAAUGACAUGUUUGAUUUGAAUUCCAGUAAAUAAUUUUCUAGUUGUGUAUUAUUACUCUCAAAUUGAGUUUAGAUAAAUUUCAUCAAACAGAUUUUUAUUAUUGUACAUAGGUAGUAAGUAGAGGUUAAAGUUUUUAUGUAAAUAAUUUUUUUUUUAUAAUGUAAAGUUUACAAGUGCCAAAUUCUUCUCUUGGA